This 466-nucleotide ribosomal RNA is filed under the name uncultured bacterium. RNAcentral describes it as "partial 16S ribosomal RNA". It matches the Rfam family "Bacterial small subunit ribosomal RNA", at positions 28 to 507 of the family's 1533-position model. The record is from RNAcentral.
GACGAACGCUGGCGGCGUGCUUAACACAUGCAAGUCGAACGGAAAGGCCUCUUUCGGGGGGUACUCGAGUGGCGAACGGGUGAGUAACACGUGAGUAACCUGCCCUUGACUUUGGGAUAACUUCAGGAAACUGGGGCUAAUACCGGAUAGGAGCUCCUGCUGCAUGGUGGGGGUUGGAAAGUUUCGGCGGUUGGGGAUGGACUCGCGGCUUAUCAGCUUGUUGGUGGGUAGUGGCUUACCAAGGCUUUGACGGGUAGCCGGCCUGAGAGGGUGACCGGCCACAUUGGGACUGAGAUACGGCCCAGACUCCUACGGGAGGCAGCAGUGGGGAAUAUUGCACAAUGGGUGGAAGCCUGAUGCAGCAACGCCGUGUGCGGGAGGACGGCCUUCGGGUUGGAAACCGCUUUCGCUCAUGACGAAGCUUUGUGUGACGGUAGUGGGUAAAGAAGCACCGGCUAACUACGUG